GCGCCCAUCGUCUAGCGGUUAGGACGCCUCCCUUUCACGGAGGAAACAGGGGUUCGAUUCCCCUUGGGCGUGCCA
This 75-nucleotide transfer RNA is filed under the name Pseudomonadota bacterium. Its description in RNAcentral is "tRNA-Glu". It matches the Rfam family "tRNA". Rfam says of the family: Transfer RNA (tRNA) molecules are approximately 80 nucleotides in length. Their secondary structure includes four short double-helical elements and three loops (D, anti-codon, and T loops). Lineage: Bacteria; Pseudomonadati; Pseudomonadota. The record is from RNAcentral. RNAcentral also lists the same sequence under 1 other name.